CCUACGGGGGGCAGCAGUGGGGGAUAUUGCACAAUGGGGGGAACCCUGAUGCAGCGACGCCGCGUGGGUGAAGGAGCGCUUCGGCGCGUAAAGCCCUAUCGGCAGGGAAGAAGGAGGACGGUACCUGACUAAGAAGCCCCGGCUAACGACGUGCCAGCAGCCGCGGUAAUACGUAGGGGGCAAGCGUUAACCGGAUUUACUGGGUGUAAAGGGGGCGCAGACGGCAGGGCAAGCCAGGAGUGAAAGCCCGGGGCCCAACCCGGGGACUGAGCGUGGAACUGCGCGGCUGGAGUGCAGGAGGAGCAGGCGGAAUGCCUGGUGUAGCGGUGAAAUGCGUAGAUAUCAGGAAGAACACCGGUGGCGAAGGCAGCCUGCUGGACUGCGACUGACGUUGAGGCCCGAAAGCGUGGGGAGCGAACAGGAUUAGAUACCCCAGUAGUC
RNAcentral lists this ribosomal RNA (441 nucleotides) under uncultured bacterium. RNAcentral's name for it is "partial 16S ribosomal RNA". It matches the Rfam family "Bacterial small subunit ribosomal RNA", at positions 338 to 795 of the family's 1533-position model. The record is from RNAcentral.